GAAUUUGUAGCUUAGUGGUAGAGUGCUCACCUAGCACGAGUGAGGCACUGGGUUCGAUCCUCAGCACCA
RNAcentral lists this transfer RNA (69 nucleotides) under Marmota monax (woodchuck). RNAcentral describes it as "tRNA.Ala". The record is from RNAcentral. Lineage: Eukaryota; Metazoa; Chordata; Mammalia; Rodentia; Sciuridae.